RNAcentral lists this ribosomal RNA (911 nucleotides) under uncultured archaeon. Its description in RNAcentral is "bacterial SSU rRNA". It matches the Rfam family "Archaeal small subunit ribosomal RNA", at positions 30 to 922 of the family's 1478-position model. The record is from RNAcentral.
UUAUCGAGAGGGAUAGCCAUGCUAGUCGCGCGCGUCCAACCAUGAGGACGAGCGGCAGACCGCUCAGUAACACGUAGUUAACCUACCCUCGGGUCGCGGAUACCCCCGGGAAACUGGGGUUAAUCCACGAUAGGUGUGGAGGCCUGGAAUGGUUCCACGCUCAAAGGGACGACGAUCAUGUUUGUCGUGUGCCCGAGGAUGGGACUGCGGCCGAUCAGGCAGUUGGCGAGGUAACGGCUCACCAAACCUUUGACCGGUACGGGCCAUGAAAGUGGUAGCCCGGAGAUGGGCACUGAGACAGGGGCCCAGGCCCUACGGGGCGCAGCAGGCGCGAAACCUCCACAAUGUGCGGAAGCACGAUGGGGUUAUCUCGAGUGCAGUCCGAUAAGGGCUGCUUUUCCAUAGAGUAAUAUCCUGUGGGAAUAAGAGGGGGGCAAGACUGGUGUCAGCCGCCGCGGUAACACCAGCCCCUCGAGUGGUGGGGACUAUUAUUUGGUCUAAAGCGUCCGUAGCUGGCUGUAUCAGUUUCCCGUCAAAUUCGGCGUCCUAAGCGUCGGUCUUCGGGAAAUACCAUACAGCUAGAGGGUGGGAUAGGUGAGCGGUAUUUCUGGGGUAGGGGCGAAAUCCUUUGAUCCCAGGAGGACCACCAGUGGCGAAGGCUGCUCACUAGAACACGCCUGGUGGUCAGGGACGAAAGCUGGGGCAGCGAACCGGAUUAGAUACCCGGGUAGUCCCAGCUGUAAACGAUGCUAGCUAAGGUGUCGGGUCGGCCACGCGCCGCCCCAGUGCCGCAGGGAAAGCCGUUAAGCUAGCCACCUGGGGAGUACGGCCGCAAGGCUGAAACUUAAAGGAAUUGGCGGGGGAGCACCACCAGGCGUGAAGCCUGCGGUUUAAUUGGAGUCAACGCCGGG